AGAGUUGCAAGAAUUCCAACGUCCAGAAUGUGGUUGGAUAUUUCAAAUCUUCCCCAGAAGCAGAAGUGACUUUCGGAUUGGCCGACAGCAGCUUUACCAAAAUAUAUAAAGCUGGGAGUUUUGGUCUAAGCAACACUCCCUGAAGCUAAACUAUCAGGACGAGAGAGACAGUGAGCAGGACUGUCAUCACCUGGCUACUGGGAGCGCCCCCGUCUGUACUGUGUUAAAGCAUGUAAAUGUGUGAUAACUCCCCCCCACACACUUGGACAGAAAGAGGAAGAAGCUUUGAAUUGGCUGUGUCUCUUCUCUCCAGUGACUCUGAGUUCCCAGCCAACCUUCAGCCAUGAAGAUAUUUUACUUGCUCUUUGCUGUUGUCUUCUUGGUGCUCAUGGAUGCACCAGGAUUCUCCCAGGCCUUGGUGACCUCGAGGGGAUGUAAACGCCGUGGGGGUUCCUGCCACUUUUGGCAAUGUGACACCACUUCUACAUACUUUGACAAAUGCAUUCCAAUUGGCCAUUGCUGUAUAAAGCAAUAGUUUGACUGAUUGUCUCUGGGAAUUUGGCAGACAGCCACUUGCUUCUAAAAUCAUCAGAUCCUGCCUCAAUGGAACCUUGAAGUGCUGUCCAGAUCAUCAAGGAAAACCCUUGUGAGCUGGAGAAAUUCCAGAAGGGAGCCUUUGCAUCACCCAUAUAAGAUUUGUCACUCUCCUUUUAAUAAAAGCAAGUUGGUGUGAGA
This is a long non-coding RNA of Mauremys reevesii (Reeves's turtle), 735 nucleotides long. RefSeq lists it as uncharacterized. The record is from RefSeq and is a predicted model, not a curated record. NCBI's taxonomy places the organism in Eukaryota, Metazoa, Chordata, Testudines, Geoemydidae. The transcript is spliced from 5 exons.